This is a long non-coding RNA of Sarcophilus harrisii (Tasmanian devil), 261 nucleotides long. NCBI's taxonomy places the organism in Eukaryota, Metazoa, Chordata, Mammalia, Dasyuromorphia, Dasyuridae. The record is from Ensembl.
GGUUAGCGGGGGCUGCCGGGCCGGGUUUAGCGGGAGGGCUUGCGCCCGGGGGCUCGGGUUUAGCUGGCAGGACUGUCCCCGGGGGCUCGGGUUUAGCGGAGGGAUUGUCCCCGGGGGCUCGGGUUUAGCUGGCAGGACUGUCCCCGGGGGCUCGGGCUUAGCGGAGGGCUUGCGCCCGGGGGCUCGGGUUUAGCUGGCAGGACUGUCCCCGGGGCCUGGCCCGGAGGACUGCCCGGGGGCUUGGCGCGGCCGGGGCAGGAC